UGAACGCUGGCGGCAUGCUUUACACAUGCAGGUCGAGCGGCAGCGCGGGGGCAACCCUGGCGGCGAGCGGCGAACGGGUGAGUAAUGCAUCGGAACGUGUCCCGUAAUGGGGGAUAACGCCGCGAAAGCGGCGCUAAUACCGCAUACGCUCUACGGAGGAAAGUGGGGGACCUGCAAGGGCCUCACGUUAGGGGAGCGGCCGAUGUCCGAUUAGCUAGUUGGUGGGGUAAUGGCUUACCAAGGCGACGAUCGGUAGCUGGUCUGAGAGGAUGAUCAGCCACACUGGGACUGAGACACGGCCCAGACUCCUACGGGAGGCAGCAGUGGGGAAUUUUGGACAAUGGGGGCGACCCUGAUCCAGCCAUGCCGCGUGCGGGAAGAAGGCCUUCGGGUUGUAAACCGCUUUUAGCCGGGAAGAAAAGGCUUGGGCUAAUACCCUGAGUUUUUGACGGUACCGGCGGAAUAAGCACCGGCUAACUACGUGCCAGCAGCCGCGGUAAUACGUAGGGUGCGAGCGUUAAUCGGAAUUACUGGGCGUAAAGCGUGCGCAGGCGGUUCGUUGUGUCGGUGGUGAAAGCUCCGGGCUUAACCUGGGAAUGGCCAUGGAAACUGGCGAACUGGAGUGUGGCA
This 630-nucleotide ribosomal RNA is filed under the name uncultured bacterium. RNAcentral's name for it is "bacterial SSU rRNA". It matches the Rfam family "Bacterial small subunit ribosomal RNA", at positions 30 to 653 of the family's 1533-position model. The record is from RNAcentral.